UAACUCCUAUAACACCCACUACUUUUAUCCAUUAUCUCCAUAACUCCCACUACUCCAAUACUUAUGGUUAUAACUCCCACACCUCCAUGAUCUUCCUCCAUGAUCUCAAAAGCUUAAUGACAUAUUUAUGGAAUUCUUUUGUAUACUUCUAUGUAGUACUAUAAAUAGAGGAUGAGAAAUCAUUUUGUAAAACACUUGGAUACAUAGAAGAAAUAUAUUC
Molecule: long non-coding RNA, 220 nt
Filed under: Nicotiana benthamiana
Lineage: Eukaryota; Viridiplantae; Streptophyta; Magnoliopsida; Solanales; Solanaceae
Description: long non-coding RNA (NBEN_LNC020493)
Source: RNAcentral